AUGAACGCUGGCGGCGUGCCUAAUACAUGCAAGUCGAGCGAACGGACGAGAAGCUUGCUUUUCUGAUGUUAGCGGCGGACGGGUGAGUAACACGUGGAUAACCUACCUAUAAGACUGGGAUAACUUCGGGAAACCGGAGCUAAUACCGGAUAAUAUUUUGAACCGCAUGGUUCAAAAGUGAAAGACGGUCUUGCUGUCACUUAUAGAUGGAUCCGCGCUGCAUUAGCUAGUUGGUAAGGUAACGGCUUACCAAGGCAACGAUGCAUAGCCGACCUGAGAGGGGGAACGGCCACACUGGAAAUGAGACACGGUCCAGACUCCUACGGGAGGCAGCAGUAGGGAAUCUACCGCAAUGGGCGAAAGCCUGACGGAGCAACGCCGCGUGAGUGAUGAAGGUCUGCGGAUCGUAAAACUCUGUUAUUAGGGAAGAACAUAUGUGUAAGUAACUGUGCACAUCUUGACGGUACCUAAUCAGAAAGCCACGGCUAACUACGU
RNAcentral lists this ribosomal RNA (495 nucleotides) under uncultured bacterium. RNAcentral describes it as "partial 16S ribosomal RNA". It matches the Rfam family "Bacterial small subunit ribosomal RNA", at positions 29 to 506 of the family's 1533-position model. The record is from RNAcentral.